RNAcentral lists this ribosomal RNA (674 nucleotides) under uncultured cyanobacterium. Its description in RNAcentral is "bacterial SSU rRNA". It matches the Rfam family "Bacterial small subunit ribosomal RNA", at positions 99 to 795 of the family's 1533-position model. The record is from RNAcentral. Lineage: Bacteria; Bacillati; Cyanobacteriota.
CGGACGGGUGAGUAACGCGUGAGAAUCUGCCAAAAGGACGGGGACAACAGGGGGAAACCGCUGCUAAAACCCGAUGUGCCGGAAGGUAAAAAAUUUAUUGCCUUUUGAUGAGCUCGCGUCAGAUUAGCUAGUUGGUGAGGUAAAAGCCCACCAAGGCGACGAUCGGUAGCUGGUCUGAGAGGACGACCAGCCACACUGGGACUGAGACACGGCCUAGACUCCUACGGGAGGCAGCAGUGGGGAAUUUUCCGCAAUGGGCGAAAGCCUGACGGAGCAAGACCGCGUGGGGGACGAAGGCUCUUGGGUUGUAAACCCCUUUUCUCUGGGAAGAAAGUUGUGAAAGCAACCUGACGGUACCAGAGGAAUCAGCAUCGGCUAACUCCGUGCCAGCAGCCGCGGUAAGACGGAGGAUGCAAGCGUUAUCCGGAAUGAUUGGGCGUAAAGCGUCCGCAGGUGGCAGUUCAAGUCUGCUGUCAAAGACCGGGGCUUAACUUCGGAAAGGCAGUGGAAACUGAACAGCUAGAGUAUGGUAGGGGCAGAGGGAAUUCCUGGUGUAGCGGUGAAAUGCGUAGAGAUCAGGAAGAACAUCGGUGGCGAAGGCGCUCUGCUGGACCAUAACUGACACUCAGGGACGAAAGCUAGGGGAGCGAAUGGGAUUAGAUACCCCAGUAGUC